RNAcentral lists this ribosomal RNA (254 nucleotides) under uncultured bacterium. RNAcentral describes it as "partial 16S ribosomal RNA". It matches the Rfam family "Bacterial small subunit ribosomal RNA", at positions 524 to 776 of the family's 1533-position model. The record is from RNAcentral.
GACGGAGGAUGCAAGCGUUAUCCGGAAUGAUUGGGCGUAAAGCGUCCGCAGGUGGCAGUUCAAGUCUGCUGUCAAAGACCGGGGCUUAACUUCGGAAAGGCAGUGGAAACUGAACAGCUAGAGUAUGGUAGGGGCAGAGGGAAUUCCUGGUGUAGCGGGUGAAAUGCGUAGAGAUCAGGAAGAACAUCGGUGGCGAAGGCGCUCUGCUGGACCAUAACUGACACUCAGGGACGAAAGCCAGGGGAGCAAACGGG